This is a long non-coding RNA of Myotis lucifugus (little brown bat), 436 nucleotides long. RefSeq lists it as uncharacterized. The record is from RefSeq and is a predicted model, not a curated record. The transcript is spliced from 3 exons. Lineage: Eukaryota; Metazoa; Chordata; Mammalia; Chiroptera; Vespertilionidae.
CUCCCUACGAUCCCAUGUGCGAGGUGGGCAGGACGCCGGGUGUCACCCCCAUGUUGCAGGGGAAGGAACUAAGGUUCAGGGUGAUCUCCCAGCUGGACCUCAGGCCGCGCCUCCUCUAGUCUGGAUCCAUCCCGCAGUGGCCAUUGAGAGGACUGGCUUAGCAUCUAAGGUAUCAGAGGAGCAUCACCCCCUGGGAGGUGGCCAGGGGCCCACGCGUGGUCUUGGCAUCGCCUUUCACCCACUUCCCAGAGCCAGCCUGGCAGGAGGAGCUGGCAGGUGAGGGAUCAGUGGAACCGGCAGGAGCAAGGAGCUGUUCCCGCGCUCCCACCCAGCCUCCGGCAGAGCCAAAACACUAUGAAUGUGACCCACCUGUGCUCCCAGAAGACAGGCAAGCCGGGGACCAAGGCUGACCGGGCUCCCUGGCCGGCAGGUCCAU